RNAcentral lists this transfer RNA (68 nucleotides) under Brillia bifasciata. Its description in RNAcentral is "tRNA-Ser". Lineage: Eukaryota; Metazoa; Arthropoda; Insecta; Diptera; Chironomidae. The record is from RNAcentral.
AGAAAUAAAAGGUUUAAGAAAAAGCUGCUAACUUUUUUCUUUAAUGGUUAAACUCCAUUUAUAUUUCU